CAAUCAAUUGUCUUUUAAAUGAAGACCUGUAUGAAUGGCAUAACGAAGGCUUAACUGUCUCCUUUUCUAAGUCAAUGAAAUUGAUCUCCCCGUGCAGAAGCGGGGAUAGUAACAUAAGACGAGAAGACCCUAUGGAGCUUUAGACGAAAACAGACCUUGUUAAAUACCCCUACUAAAGGAUUAAACCAAAUUGACCCUGUUUGAAUGUCUUUGGUUGGGGCGACCGCGGGGAAAUAAAGAACCCCCAUGAGGACUGGAAACACUUUUCCACAGCUAAGAGCUCCCGCUCUAAGAAACAGAAUAUCUGACCAUAAGAUCCGGCAAUGCCGAACAACGAACCGAGUUACCCUAGGGAUAACAGCGCAAUCCCCUUUAAGAGCCCA
This 383-nucleotide ribosomal RNA is filed under the name Elassoma zonatum (banded pygmy sunfish). Its description in RNAcentral is "partial 16S ribosomal RNA". It matches the Rfam family "Bacterial large subunit ribosomal RNA", at positions 1962 to 2502 of the family's 2925-position model. Lineage: Eukaryota; Metazoa; Chordata; Actinopteri; Centrarchiformes; Elassomatidae. The record is from RNAcentral.